This 87-nucleotide signal recognition particle RNA is filed under the name Dehalococcoidia bacterium. Its description in RNAcentral is "partial signal recognition particle sRNA small type". It matches the Rfam family "Bacterial small signal recognition particle RNA", at positions 11 to 97 of the family's 97-position model. From Rfam's summary of the family: The signal recognition particle (SRP) is a universally conserved ribonucleoprotein involved in the co-translational targeting of proteins to membranes. Archaeal SRP consists of a 7S RNA and homologues of the eukaryotic SRP19 and SRP54 proteins. In most bacteria, the SRP consists of a 4.5S RNA and the Ffh protein (a homologue of the eukaryotic SRP54 protein). The record is from RNAcentral. Lineage: Bacteria; Bacillati; Chloroflexota; Dehalococcoidia.
CACGCGGCGCAGACCUGCGAACUCCGCCAGGCCGGAAGGAGCAACGGUAAACAGUGCUCUGCGGGUGCCGUGGGAGCGCCUGACCCG